This 431-nucleotide ribosomal RNA is filed under the name uncultured bacterium. Its description in RNAcentral is "partial 16S ribosomal RNA". It matches the Rfam family "Bacterial small subunit ribosomal RNA", at positions 29 to 507 of the family's 1533-position model. The record is from RNAcentral.
AACGAACGCUGGCGGCAGGCUUAACACAUGCAAGUCGAACGCCCCGCAAGGGGCGUGGCAGACGGGUGAGUAACGCGUGGGAACAUACCCUUUCCUGCGGAAUAGCUCCGGGAAACUGGAAUUAAUACCGCAUACGCCCUACGGGGGAAAGAUUUAUCGGGGAAGGAUUGGCCCGCGUUGGAUUAGCUAGUUGGUGGGGUAAAGGCCUACCAAGGCGACGAUCCAUAGCUGGUCUGAGAGGAUGAUCAGCCACAUUGGGACUGAGACACGGCCCAAACUCCUACGGGAAGCAGCAGUGGGGAAUAUUGGACAAUGGGCGCAAGCCUGAUCCAGCCAUGCCGCGUGAGUGAUGAAGGCCUUAGGGUUGUAAAGCUCUUUCACCGAUGAAGAUAAUGACGGUAGUCGGAGAAGAAGCCCCGGCUAACUUCGUG